UUCGGCAAGCAAUUUUUUGAUGAAAAUCACGAUAAAAACCUACAAUUCGUAACAGCGAGUCAACCUAGCUUUCCAGUUAUCGGCUCCUACGAGGAAAGAUAUUAACUAUAAACUAUGUACGAAAGAACUCUUUGUUGGCUGCGUUUGAACGUUUUUAAACGUCGUGUCUAAUGUACAUGUGGACGAUGUGGACGAUGUGGACGAUGUGGUCUCUUUUCAAGGUUAAAAGACUCUUGGUGAAAAGACAAAAGUAUCAUGAGAGAGCUGAUGGGCAUAUAUCAUAUAUGAAUGAGAACAGUAUUGUAUACAAAGCACUGUUUACCUUCUUUAUUUUUUUGGUUUUCAGAAUUGGAGCCACCUCAAAUAGUAGUAGAUUUUUAGCACAUUUUGAUGCAUUGUUGUAUUGUGUAAUAAAGCAAAAAACAAUCAUUAAACAGUAUAACCAUUUUUGGCUAAAUACACACUUGCAUUUUCGUUA
This is a long non-coding RNA of Xenia sp. Carnegie-2017, 478 nucleotides long. RefSeq lists it as uncharacterized. NCBI's taxonomy places the organism in Eukaryota, Metazoa, Cnidaria, Anthozoa, Malacalcyonacea, Xeniidae. The transcript has 2 exons. The record is from RefSeq and is a predicted model, not a curated record.